Molecule: long non-coding RNA, 3438 nt
Organism: Astatotilapia calliptera (eastern happy)
Lineage: Eukaryota; Metazoa; Chordata; Actinopteri; Cichliformes; Cichlidae
Source: Ensembl
AAACUACGGAGCCCGAGCGGCGGCACGGCGGUCAUCGAGCGUCCGGCGGCGCGGUAAAACAGCAGGAAACCGAGCGGAGCGACGCGGCGACGCCGAGCAAGCGGCUGAUAACGGCCGGACGUUACCUGCGGGUGGUCCGCUUCAUGGCCGGCUGGCUGUCCACCUUGGUUCGGCUCCGCUGCCCGUCACUCGUAGCUCACUCCGCCGGACCCGCCACGUCCACCUCGGCAGAACACCCGCCGCCUCGCCUCCUCUCCUCCCCUCUAUCACUGACUAAUUCCGCUCCCUCCCUCCUUCUUACCUUCCUUUCCUCCCUCCUUCCUCUCUCGCUUCUCCCCCCCUUUCCUUCCUUCCCUCCCUCCCUUCUCGCUCGUGCACAUACCCGUUCAGUCGGGUAUGUAGGUAACUAUGACAACGGUAGUAGCCACCGUAGCCUUCAUCAUCAUCAUCAUCAUGGCAGACCGUUGUAAGUUGGUGUUUAAUGACAUUCAGCCCAUGCAGCACUGAUAAAACCAGGCACAAAGUAAACAACCAACACAUCAGAGUCUGAUAACUCACUCAGAACUGACACUGGUCACACAAGGUCAAAGGUCACAUCAAGUCUGACCUUUAAAAAAACAAAAAUAAAUCCUGAAGCAUUCAAUCUACCAUUUGGCUGAUGUCCAUUAAAAAAAAAACCAAUAAAAUAAAAAAAACAGGGAACAUUUUAUAAAAAGUAUUGCAUCACAUCCAAAAAAUGAGAUGAACUGUUCUUUGACAUACAGCGUUCAUCAAGGUUAAACAGGAAGUAGAAAUCCAUAUUUAAAGUUUAAAACAAACCCACCCCCGAAUGAAGUUCCCCCAUGUCUUCACAAAGAGCCUGACUUACAGGAAAACCUCCAACUGGAAAUAUUAACAUGAAAAAAACAAAAGAAAACAAACCCGUUCGCCCCUCAUUCACACGUCUGUUCCCUGAGGAACUCCUCGCCAACUUUUAAGGAUCUUUAUUAGUUUUUUGCUCACACCCAAAGUUUUAACUACAAAGGACUGAAGUACGAGUACCACACAACCACUUUUCACUGCUAACAAAAAAGAAAAGAAAAAAAAAAGAGCUCUGCAAUGAGAUUGCAUGAAUGUUUCAGUACUAGAAAUGAUACGACGAUGCGUUACAGCCACGGACCUCUUCUGGAAGAGAAAUGCAUCUGGUCAGCUGCAAACAUAACAAAUGAAUAAAGACCACCAGCAGGGAAAUGUUACUCAUUAAUUAUAACUUAAGAGAUCAGGGUUUCACUCAAUUUUCACCAUCUGGAAAGAGUUUGCAUUUUGCGUUGAGAUUAGAUCAGAUUUAAUGGAGCUCCAACAUGGGCCUCAAACAGCACAUAAACAAAUGAUGACAGUAUUAUCACGCAUUUAUGUUGAUAUCCAGGUUUUUAAACACAAAGUGUUACGCCACUCCUCUUCAAAGUUAUUUCUAAUAUCAUGUUUGUUUCUAGGCAGAUGCAUUCCUCUGUGUAAACAAGGACAGGAGGAGUUGUCAUUGGUUAAACAGGUCACAUGAUAUCUCCAACGAUCAGUGGUCCGACUCUUCAGGGCAGCAUUAAGGUCAAACAGACGAAGCUUGCUCCUACACACUGUACAUAAAAGAUGGACAUAAGGCUGUUCUCUAGUGUCCAGCAGGAGGCGGCUCCUCUGGUCCGAAUGGGAAAAUGAGCAUCCUGCUCAGCUGAUCUGAGCUCAGCAAACCCUGUUCUGAUGUGUUUAUGGUUCAGGUCUGACUGAAGAAAACAGGAAGUUUAUUUUGGAGAUUUUGGUCCCAUCAGUCACGGAGGGACAGGAAGUACGGAAGUCGGUGCAGAAAUCCAUCGUCUUGCAUCACGUCUGCUUUCUGAAAGCUGAGACGGUCAUCUCCUCUGGCACCUCCGCCCAGUUUUCCCAGAGUUCUGUCCCAUUAUGCCGAGUGAAGCUGCUUCAGGCUUCAACUCUCAGGAAGUAAAAUCUGACGAAUGGAGCGAUCCGGCCCGACCGAUGGGAAGAAUACAGUCUGGACUUUAGGUUCUGGGUUCGGUUAAUUCUGUCAGCACAAGCAGCCACACGAGGUUUUCAAAAGUCCAACAAGUUCUCAGUUUUUACUGAAAUGUAGAAAUUUGAACAAAGCAGUUUUGUAGCUUUGUUCAUAUAUGCACAGUUUAGAGGUCCAGAACCCUAAAAUCAUAUUAAAUAAAAUAAUAACAGUGCAAAUUUAGCGCUUCACACAUCUGAAGUAAAAGGAGAGCUCUGGGCUUCUGUCAGGAAGGCCACGGAGACCCGAGGAUUCACGGAGCAGCUGAAAAAAGCUUUUACGUCCUGAUUUAUCCGCCGCCCGGUGUUUGGCAUUCCUCAUCUGUCUACAGCUUUAACCACCCCUGAUACAUGAAAACUAAAGUAGAGACCAAAGAAACGCCGCACAGCCACGUCAGGAGUGCCAGUGUUGGAGUCUGUCCACCAGAGGGCGCUCUGCCACGUUCCUAUUGGCCAACACAGUUGAUGGAAAGGCUGCUGCAGAGAAGGAUGCUGGGAUAGGGCAAACUGGUUAAUCCGUCAGCUGAAGAACAGGAGAGAGCGAGGGACGGCUGCAGGAGGCGCACAAGGAGGAAGCCUUAAAGAGAGAUCGGCCAAAUUGAGCUCAGGAUUAGGAUUUUCUGAACUUUAACGGAACGUCCGAUCCUUCUGCCGCCGGUGCGUAAAAACCACAAAAGCGAGCUUUUCUUUUCACCUGAUUUUGUACACACGGAGCAGCCACAGUCCUGACAGAAAAUUAAACUUCUGUUUGACAAUAAAAAGAAUUUCAUUUUUACUGUGUUUACAUACACGUUUAAAUUCUUCACUAAUGUAAACAGUUAUUUACUCAACUUGAUAUCAAAAAACCAAAAAAACCAAACAUUUUUUGUCAGAUUUUGGAUUCCGUAUGAAUCAAACCUUCAAAGAAUAAAGUCCUAAAAAACAAAGAAACAUCUCAUGUCGAGUGGUUUUUAUGUCAGACCAGGCCUGGGGAAAAAACUAAAAUCUGCUCGUUGAUCAGGUGAGAUUUCGCCGCUGCGCUUCAGCUGAGGUAAUGAGGUCUCAUGGAAACAGGAAGUCAAAGAAACACUUGAAAAAUGAGGUACGAAAACGAGACGAAGCGGUCGGUGAAGCAGAGACAGGACAGUAAAAAAAAAAAAAAAAAAAAAAGUCUGAUUUUCGCCUGAGGUGACCAGAGUUCUGGAUCCUCCAACGGUCAGACGGCCCCGGCUCGCAGACGGUUUCAUUUUGUGCAUUUCUGGUCUUUGUUCAAAUUGAACCACGGAGCUCUGCAGAGCUCGCCGUCGUAUUGCUUCAGAGUUGAAAAAAAGGUUCACACAUUUACACAGCGUGAAACAACGGAUUCUGUGAUUGUUCGUGCUGACGUUUCUCAGAGAUAAAAACUAACUCUCAGGAUGAAUA